UCAGGCGGCUGGAACGUGACAGCGCCGGGCCUCAGUGGGCGGCCGGUGGGGGUCGCCCUGUCUCCCCGCAUGGGGGCAAGCAUCAAGGCUGUAUGCUAAGGAGAACCACAUGCAACCCCCACCCCCCGGGGAUCUGGGACCUCCCCCUCUUGGGAGACAUGCCUGGGGUCCCUGAGCGUACACUCCCAAGCCAGGAUGCCUGCUGAAGCCAGUGUCCCAGACACCAGGAGCCUAUGCCCCAAGGUGGAGGGAGGACCAAAACAGGCAUAGAGACCACCCCUCCUAGAGUCCAGACCCAGUGCAGCCGCCAGUCCUCCACCUGAUUUUCAUAGCCACCAGCGACAGUGCAAGGGCUUUCAUAAAAAACACAGCCCACUCACUCCAUUUGUGAUCACUUUGACCUCCGCAAAGAGGGUUGGGGCUCUGUGUGCCCCUUUGACUGAUGGGCGGCCGGGGCCACCGUCAUCCAACACAGCCUGGGCCCAGCACCCUCACUCAGUAUGGCCAGUCCCCUUGGUGCUGGGCAGGCAAGAGGAUGUCAGGGUCCUGGAAGCCACCCAGUCCAAGGCAGUGGAACCAACCUGGCCCCAGCUCUGUCACCUCCAGCUCCCCGCCUACAUACACCUCCAGAUGGCCAGCCAAGACUCCCUCUCUUGUGGACUUGACUCUGCAGGGGAAGUAUGAGGGGGCUUAGGGGCCUUCAGAACUAAGCCUUAUCUUGGCUCCUGCAGCACCACUGGGACCUCUUGGUGCCUACAGGGGGCUCCACAGGGGGAUGGAGUCAAGCCCAGCUGUAGUAGGACGCAUGGAUCUCUUUUUUACACCAACUGGAUCUCUUUUCUCUGGGUCUGCAGAAGAGCCUCAGUCCCCAGCCACCCUCGGAAGCCCACCUGGUGCUGCACAUACCUCCUAUGGUACUAUCCCCCUGUUGUCCCUGAGCUUGGCAUGGUGCCCAGCCCAGAGCAGACCUCAAAAAGGAUGUCAGAGCCACACAGGGGCAGUCCCCUCUCCCCAUCAGACCCAGAGCCCCUGAGUGACCUAUCUCCCAGAGCCUCUGCCACCUCCUCUUCCAGCCUCCUGGAGGCAGCCAAUUCCCGGGCCUUGCCCUCCCUGGCAACUGACAGAGGCCACAAAGCAGGGUGGGGAGGCCACCACAACCCCGGCUCCGAGGCCUACGGAAGUGGGCUUUCUGCUCCUCAGCCCAGCUGGAGGUCAGGGGGACCACCCCACCCACUGCCCCCCCAGCUCCACUGGAGAGGAGGGCAGAGCUGGGGGUUAACCCCAGGGCAGGGGUACAGAAACCCCUUGAGCCAGGCUCUGCAGGUUACCCUGGCGGGGCUGGAUGGCCACCCUCCCGGCUCUGCACACCCCCAGGUUCAGGAGUAGCCCAUCCCGCCCUGGGCAGCCCAAGUCCCCUGACUCACAUCUGGCCACCCAGCCUAACUGCCCAUCUUCCCAGUCUCUUCCAAAGCCCUUGGUCCCUCCCACCUCCAGCAUCCCUCUAUGGCAGCUCUUGACAUUAGGUGGUGCCCCACCAGGCACCAGGGGCUCAAUUCCAAAGGGAUGGGAAAGAGGAGAUGAGAAGGUGGGGGGAAGUGAAGGGUGAGAAGAGGGUGCCCAGGAGGAGGUGGGGCCUCUGGGGCUUACAGACCCUGCCUUGUAGGCAAAGGCGGAGCUGAGACUUCAGGCCCCACCCACUGCUGGAGCACUGUCCUUUAUUACCCUGAAUGCACCCACACACACGCAGGGACAUCUAGGCUCUGGCAAGCCCGGCUGGCCUCACCUAACAAGUGCCCUUUGCUACCCUGUUGGGGGCAGGGAGGCCCGCCCUCUGCCGCAGACUGCUGCUCCCGUGCCCCCACCAGCGGGGUGGACUUGGAGCUGCAUGUGUCCCUGACGUCUUGUAGCCCCUGGAUGCAACCAGAUGACACAACAUAAUUCAGGGUCUCGACGGAGCCGUCCCAUCCCACACCAGAUCCUGGGGGGGACACGAUAUAGCCGUGGGGCCACAGGGAUCAUUGGGACAAAGGUGAGUGGGGCUUGUGGGAAGACACCGGACAGGAGGGAAGCCCCCUCCCCCAAGGAGAUGAUGGGUCCACUGGGAGUGGGGAGCUAAUGGAAACAGGGUCCCCACCUUUGCCAUAGGAGUUGGGUGCCCCCAGGGGGCCUGGGCGGCGCUGGCGGAAUCGUUGCCGUGGGGUGUCCCCAGGGCUGAAUGACUCAGAGCUUCGCCCCACAGGGAACCGUGAGCUGAGUUUCCGCCGCUGCCCACCUGCCAGGGUCUCAUCCCGUAGGCACAGGGAGCUCUGGGCCCGGCGCAUGGGUGCUGGUGAGGGGAGCCCUGCAAGAGUGAACGAAGGGAGGGGUCAGAGAAGUGCAGCCAGGGCCAGGCCUCAGAGGAGGGCCAGCAGGGGAGGCUGUAGGGGCAGGGCGACGUGGCCACAGAGGCAGGGCGAGGGUCCCGAGUGAGCAUGGUACAGUCACCCUCCAAAGGCUGGGUCCUGUGCUGGCCCUGAUGCUAACUUACUGUGUGACCUUGGGCAAGGCGCUCCCCCUCUCUGGGCCUCAGUUUCCUCAUCUGCUGACUGGGAUAAAUGAUCUCUCACUAAUGUUCCCUGCUGCUCUGAGGUCCCAGGCACUACUGAGGACAGGGGAGGACUGGGUGGGUGGGCACUGCAGGCAGGAGGGAGGUGCUGACCAAGAGGGACCCGGCAGAGGCCCAGGCAGAGGGCACAGAAAGCAACUGGGCAGGUGACAGGGAAGGCAAGACAGAAAGGGAAUGGCCAGAUGCACAGGCAGGGGUCAGGGUGGGGGCAGGGGACAUGGGCUAGGGACCAUCCUGGUCACUUAGCUCCCAGACCCACCUGUCCCAUCUGCCUCCCUGCCCUCGGGGAGCUCCGUCUCCGGGGGGCCCCCCAGGCUCUCGGUGCUGCCAGCCCUAUCGGCCCCCAGGCGUGGCCCCCCAUGGGGGCCCCCCUCCCGCCGGGGCCGCAUCAGCCUCUUCACCUUGUCUGCCAGCCAGCUGCCCUUCCUGGGGGCAAGAGGGCACAAGAGGGGGUAAGGACAGAGAGGAAGGUGGGAGGUGAGGACUGUGUUGGGGAUGGCCAAGGCCAGGCAAACCCUCACAGGGGCCUGCCCUGAGCUGGGGAUGAGAGGGUAGGGCCAAGCCAAGUGGGAGGUGGGAGGACCCUGGCCCAGAGGGCGGGAGGGGCCGCUCACUUAGUCCGGGGCAGGGGCCCAGGCUCUAGCACGCGGUACUGGUCCAUGAUCUUCUCCACCAGCUUCUGCUUCUCUCUGCGCAAGGCGUUCAGCUGGUCCCUGGUAGGACGGGGAGGGGAGAGGUGGGCGUGAGGCUGGGGGCUCAUGGGUGUUGGCAGGUGCACGCUGGUACAACCAAGUUGUUAGCACAUUGAUAUACUCUGGUAUGGGCUGAUAAAUGGCCACUGUCCCUGAGCCCCCAGGCACCCCUGGCAGCCCUCUUUUCUUAGGACCUCCCCAGCCAAAAGGGCCUCCAGGAUCCGCUCCGGCACCCAGCUGCUCACAGGCUACCCUGCCAUCCUGCCACCCCAGGCCACUGCCUGCUCCCGCACAUACCUCACACUGCGUGGUCAGCCGGCAGGCGUUCAGAUCCAGCUGCUGGUUGGACUCACGAAG
Loxodonta africana (African savanna elephant) is the source of this 3654-nucleotide long non-coding RNA. RefSeq lists it as uncharacterized. The record is from RefSeq and is a predicted model, not a curated record. The transcript has 3 exons. NCBI's taxonomy places the organism in Eukaryota, Metazoa, Chordata, Mammalia, Proboscidea, Elephantidae.